Bolinopsis microptera is the source of this 286-nucleotide long non-coding RNA. RefSeq lists it as uncharacterized. The record is from RefSeq and is a predicted model, not a curated record. The transcript has 3 exons. Lineage: Eukaryota; Metazoa; Ctenophora; Tentaculata; Lobata; Bolinopsidae.
UAAAAUAAUUAUAAUACCUAUAUUUAGGUCUUUUUUUCAAAGUUCAAGCAGAAAGUGAAAGGUGCUGCAGUGCUAUGAACGGGGAAUACCAAAUAGUAAUCGAAUCGGAUAAAGAGCAGGCUACUAAAAGACAAUGGAAACUUGGUAGUUUUAAGGAGUUCACAAAUGAGGCGGGACUCAGAGCACUUUUUGCUGAAUUUCUUGGAACCUUCAUGCUCGUACUUUUCGCUACAGGUGGAAUAAACCCCAGGAUCAUAGCGAGAUUAGAUGACAGCGGAACCACGGA